RNAcentral lists this unclassified non-coding RNA (219 nucleotides) under Hevea brasiliensis (rubber tree). Lineage: Eukaryota; Viridiplantae; Streptophyta; Magnoliopsida; Malpighiales; Euphorbiaceae. The record is from RNAcentral.
AUGAUUGUUUUCUGCUGGCUUUUUGAGGGAGGUUUUCCUUGCAUUAGGGGAAAACUCUUUCUUCAACAUUUCCCCCUGCAUCAUAGCGGCUCCUCUUUCUUGGUUCAUGAAUGUAGGAAAAUUAUCUCUUGAGAAUUCACUGAUGAUAAUGCUUUUGAUGAUUUUUUGCAUUCUAGUUCAUAUAAUUAUGUGUUUUUGUGGCUUAUACUUUACAGUUCA